Molecule: ribosomal RNA, 461 nt
Filed under: uncultured bacterium
Lineage: Bacteria
Description: SSU rRNA
Rfam family: Bacterial small subunit ribosomal RNA
Source: RNAcentral
AGCCUGAACGCUGGCGGCGUGGCUAAGACAUGCAAGUCGUACGGUGUAGCAAUACACAGUGGCGAACGGGAGAGUAAUGAAUCGCUAAUGUGCCCCGGACUCUGGGAUAGCCAGCCGAAAGGCUGGGUAAUACCAGAUGAGACCACGAACAGGCAUCUGUUUGUGCUCAAAGGUCCGCCGGUCUGGGAGCAGGCGAUUUUGUAUCAGCUAGUUGGUGAGGUAACGGCUCACCAAGGCGACGACGCAUAGCCGGACUGAGAGGUUGGCCGGCCUCAUUGGGACUGAGACACUGCCCAGACUCCUACGGGGGGCUGCAGUAACGAAUCUUCCGCAAUGCACGAAAGUGUGACGGAGCGACGCCGCGUGUGGACGAAGUUCUUCGGAAUGUAAACCACUGUCAGGGAAAGAAAGUUCUGAUCUACCCCAGAGGAAGAGGCGGCUAACUCUGUGCCAGCAGCCGC